GUCAGGCUCGCUCACGACAACACGCCACCAACACACAUAAAAGCCGAGGGGCUCAGUGUGUGGAGUGAACCCACAACCCAAACGAAACAAGACUGUGUUGACAAAAAACCGAAUCUCUCUCUCUCUCACACACACACACUCGUUUUAUCUCGCAAGUCUGAACAUUGAGAACAGAAAGAAAAGUGCAAGGGAAGAAAACAACACAAAACAAGAGUUGCAGUUGAAGUUAAGAAUGGAGGACAGUGUUAGUAGCAGCAACACGAGUGCCACCAAUGUGGCACAAGCUAUACACACUGCCCUUGACUGGGCCUCUUCUCCUGACGCUCGACAAAACGCCGUUGCUUUUCUCGAUUCCAUCAAGAAUGGUGAUAUACGGGUAUUAGCAAACACAUCAUUCCUUCUGGUGAAAAAGAACUGGUCGUCUGAAAUCCGGUUACAUGCCUUUAAAAUGCUGCAGCAUUUGGUGCGCUUACGAUGGGAGGAAUUAGGCCCUGCAGAGCACAAGAACUUUGCAAAGCUUUCUGUUGAUUUAAUGUCUGAGAUUUCCAAUCCUUGUGAAAAUUGGGCUCUCAAAAGCCAGACAGCUGCCCUUGUUGCUGAGGUAGUUAGAAGAGAGGGUCUUAAUUUAUGGCAAGAAAUGCUUCCAUCUUUGAUUUCUCUAUCCAGCAAUGGUCCGAUAGAAGCGGAGUUGGUUGCAAUGAUGCUGCGGUGGCUUCCUGAAGACAUUACAGUUCACAAUGAAGACUUAGAAGGUGAUCGGCGAAGGCUACUUUUGCGUGGGCUAACUCAAUCAUUGCCCGAAAUUUUGCCACUAUUAUACACUUUACUAGAAAGGCACUUUACAGCUGCAAUGAAUGAAGCUGGUAGGAAACAGAUGGAUAUUGCCAAACAGCAUGCUGCUACUGUAACAGCUACUCUAAAUGCUAUGAAUGCAUAUGCUGAGUGGGCUCCAUUGUCAGAUUUUGCUAAGUCUGGCAUCAUUCAUGGUUGUGGUGUACUACUAUCUGCACCAGAUUUUCGUCUUCAUGCUUCGGAGUUUUUCAAACUUGUCUCUCCAAGGAAGAGGCCUAUUGAUGCAUCUGCCUCUGAAUUUGACCAAGCUAUGAGCAGCAUCUUUCAAAUAUUGAUGAAUGUAUCUAGAGAAUUUUUGCAUAGAUCUGGUUCAGGUCCUGGGUCCAUAGAUGAGGGCGAAUAUGAAUUUGCUGAAUUUAUAUGUGAAAGUAUGGUGUCACUGGGUUCUUAUAACUUGCAAAGUAUUGCUGGUGAUAGCACCAUACUUCCACUUUACCUUGAACAGAUGCUGAGAUUUUUCCAACAUUUCAAGUUUGCUAUUCAUUUUCAAUCCAUGCACUUCUGGCUGGUGCUAAUGAGGGAUUUGAUGUCAAAGCCAAAAAGUUCCACACAUUCAGCUGCUGACAGUUCAGCUGUUAGUAGCACAGGUUCUGGAGAAGUUGAAAAUGCCAAGAAAAAGACUCUAAGCUUUGUGAGUGAUGAUUUUUGUGGUGCAAUUUUGGAUACAUCUUUCCCUCGCAUGCUCAAGAGACAAAAGAUGCUGCAUGAGACUGCCAUUUCUUUAGGGGCAUUGGAGUUGUGGAGUGAUGAUUUUGAGGGCAAGGGAACAUUCAGCCAGUAUCGUUCUAGACUGUUGGAGUUGAUUAGGCUUGUUUCUUCUUACAAACCCCUGAUAGCUGCUACUAAAGUUUCUGAAAAAAUUGAUACAAUCAUCAAAGAUCUCUUGCUUUCACCGGCACCAACUCAGGACUUAGCUGUGAUGGAAAGCAUGCAAUUGGCUUUAGAGAAUGUUGUAAAUGCAGCUUUUGAUGGAUCAAAUGACUUUACCAAGACAAAUGCUGAAGUCCAGUUUGCAUUAUGUAGAACGUUUGAAGGUUUACUUCAACAAUUUAUUUCCUUAAAAUGGACGGAGCCUGCACUUGUUGAAGUACUUGUGCACUAUUUGGAUGCUAUGGGCCCCUUUUUGAAGUAUUUCCCAGAUGCAGUUGGCAGUGUUAUUAAUAAAUUAUUUGAACUACUAACAUCUCUUCCCCUUGUAAUCAAGGAUAUGUCAAUGCAUAAUGCACGGCAUGCAAGGCUGCAGACCUGUACAUCAUUUAUUCGGAUAGCGAAAACUGCUGACAAAAGCAUCUUGCCUCAUAUGAAGGGUAUUGCUGAUACAAUGGGAUGUUUGCAAAGGGAGGGUCGUUUGCUUCAGGGAGAGCAUAAUCUUUUAGGCGAAGCAUUUCUUGUUAUGUCUUCUUCUGCUGGGAUCCAACAGCAACAAGAUGUUUUAAGGUGGUUACUAGAACCUUUAAGCAUUCAGUGGACACAAUUGGAGUGGCAGGAUAAGUAUUUGUCAGGUCCACACGGUUUGGUUCAGUUGUGCUCAGAUGUGCCUGUUAUGUGGUCAAUUUUUCAUACAGUGACAUUCUUUGAGAGGGCACUUAAGAGGAGUGGAUUGAAGAAAGCCAAUUGGAAUUCAGAAAACAGCUCAACACCAAAUUCAAUUCCUUUAAAUCCAAUGGCCUCUCACAUAUCAUGGAUGGUGACUCCUCUCUUGAAACUACUUCGCUGUAUACAUUCCCUUUGGUCUCCAUCUGUAAGUCAAGCUUUACCUGGUGAGGUCAGAGCUGCAAUGGUCAUGGGUGAUGUUGAGAGGUUCAGUCUUCUUGGAGAAGGGAACUCUAAAUUACCAAAGGGUGUCACAGAUGGAUCUAAGAUUGACAUGAAUAAAGAAGGAUACGCUGAACCCAAUGAAUCAGAUAUUCGAAAUUGGUUUAAAGGCAUCAGAGACAGUGGAUAUAAUGUAUUGGGCUUGUCAACAACCGUUGGGGAUUCGUUUUUCAAAUAUUUGGAUGUGCACUCUGUUGCUGUUGCCCUAAUGGAGAAUAUACAGUCAAUGGAGUUCAGGCAUAUAAGACAGCUUGUUCAUUCCACUUUGAUUCCUUUGGUUAAAAAUUGUCCUUUGGAUAUGUGGGAGAUUUGGCUGGAAAAGCUUCUACACCCAUUUUUUGUCCAUGCUCAGCAAGCACUUAGCUGUUCAUGGUCUAGUCUUCUACAAGAUGGUAGAGCAAAGGUUCCAGAUGCUCAUGGCAUUCUUAGUGGAUCAGACUUGAAAGUGGAAGUGAUGGAGGAAACAAUUCUGAGGGAUCUCACGCGUGAGAUGUGUUCACUCCUCUCUGCCAUAGCUUCUCCUCCCCUUAAUACUGGAAUUCCUUCUUUGGAACAGUCUGGGCAUGUUUGUCGAUUAGAUAUGUCUUCUCUAAAAAACUUGGAUACAGUUGCAUCAUGCUCUAUGGUUGGUUUCCUUCUAAAGCAUGAAUGUCUGGUCCUUCCAACACUACAAAUGUGUUUAGAAGCUUUUACAUGGACGGAUGGUGAAGCCGUGACUAAAAUUUCUUCAUAUUGCUCUGCAUUGGUAGUUCUUGCAAUAGUAACAAAUCAUGCAGAACUCGUUGAAUAUGUUUCUAGAGAUCUUUUUACAUCCAUUAUUAAAGGUUUAGCCCUUGAAUCAAAUGCAAUAAUCAGUGCUGAUCUAGUUGGCAUUUGUCGCGAAAUAUUUGUUUAUCUUUGUGAUAGACACCCAGCUCCCAGGCAGGUUUUAAUGUCUCUCCCCAAUAUUACCACUCAUGAUUUAGUUGCCUUUGAGGAAUCCUUAACGAAAACAUUCAGUCCAAAGGAACAAAAGCAGCUUACGAGAAGCUUGCUUCAAUUAGCAUCUGGUAACAAAUUGAAAGCACUUGCAGCACAGAAAACUGUGAAUAUCAUUACAAAUGUUUCAAUGAGACCACGCCCAGCCAAUGCUCCCGAGUCCAAAGUUGAUGAUGGUGAUGCUGUGGGGUUGGCAGCCAUCAUGUGAUAUUUGUUUUGAGUUCAUGGAAGGUUUUGUGUACAGGAGUGAGCUCGUAUUGAGAAGAUUUUGGGUUUUCAUUAUUUACUAACAAAGGGUGUGAAAGCAUUUCUUCCCCUGCAACAUUAACAAGCAAAUUUGGUGGGAGUACAAAAAUUUUAUGCCCUUCCUCUUUACUCAUAGCAACAUGUGAAUCAGGUUUACUCUAUGCACACUUUACUUCAUUUGCAGUAUAUAGCUCUCUUCAGAUUAACAGAACCACACCUGGCAGUUCGGACUUUUGUAUUUAGUUUUUUUCCAGAAUUCAAAGUCCAGCUGCGAUCAGAUUAUAAUUUCGUUAUUUUAUGCCUCACUUUUGAAGCAUACAAUGAGAAGUAACUCCACAUGUUUAUUUGUUAUUAGUUGAAGUUCAUGCAGAUGUGGUAAACCCCAAUAGAUGUAGAAUGAGAUCCACUUCAUUUGAUGGGAUCUACAUGCAUAUUCAACUAAUAGUGAAGUAGCAACAAAUUAAGAGAGCCCGAGCGAGCGACCUUGCUAAAAGCUUUUCAGCAGUCAAGAGUGUGAUUGGUUCAGAAUCGUGUUAGAAUAUCCAAUAAACUAAUUUUAGGUUGAAAUCAAUUGGAAGAUUAGUUGGAAGAAGGUUCAGUUCAGAAAAAGAAAAAGUGUUUUCUUUGACGAGAGAGAAAGCCAUAGCUUAAAAUGGGACCAGGCAGUCUAGGCCCAGGAGGCCCUCCUGGUUGGGGUGCACCUGGCCCACCAGGCCCAGGACAUUUCGGUGGGUUUUGCGAUAUCAUUAGCACUUGCCUCAACAGCAAAGAAGAUACUAUAUUAAUAUGGAUAUAAGAAACACCCAGAAGUUUACAACGGACUGAGAACAAUGUGCCUAUUUGUGUCAUAGGUGAUGGCAGUUUGUAUUGUCUAUGUUGCUGCUGUCUCCUGGAGAGUUGUUGCGGCCCAAUGCUUGGUGGACCUCCUCCUGGGCCCCCUGGCCCAGGUUUCUGAUAAUCCAUACUUAAGAUCCAUUUCAAGAGGAAUCGAGGAAAUUAAAAAAAGAAAAACAUUCUGUGUGAGUGUAAGUGUGAUGGUUGUUGUGGCAAGUGGCAACCCCUUUGGAUUCUGCUACAUUUGUUUUGAGGAAAAUACUAACCAAUGUUCUAAGAAAGUAAAGGGAGUCCGAAGCUUUUUGUCCAA
RNA transcript from Glycine soja, 5035 nucleotides. It is a transcript of the gene named protein HASTY 1-like, with no coding region annotated. Lineage: Eukaryota; Viridiplantae; Streptophyta; Magnoliopsida; Fabales; Fabaceae. The record is from RefSeq and is a predicted model, not a curated record. The transcript has 26 exons.